Molecule: unclassified non-coding RNA, 227 nt
Filed under: uncultured fungus
Lineage: Eukaryota; Fungi
Description: sequence contains ITS1, 5.8S rRNA gene
Rfam family: 5.8S ribosomal RNA (bases 179-227)
Source: RNAcentral
UCUCCGUAGGUGAACCUGCGGAGGGAUCAUUACUGAGUGAGGGUUUAACCGCCCGACCUCCAACCCUUUGUGAACACAACUUGUUGCUUCGGGGGCGACCCUGCCGUUUCGACGGCGAGCGCCCCCGGAGGCCUUCAAACACUGCAUCUUUGCGUCGGAGUUUAAGUAAAUUAAACAAAACUUUCAACAACGGAUCUCUUGGUUCUGGCAUCGAUGAAGAACGCAGC